RNAcentral lists this non-coding RNA (26 nucleotides) under Mus musculus (house mouse). The record is from RNAcentral. Lineage: Eukaryota; Metazoa; Chordata; Mammalia; Rodentia; Muridae.
UACACACAGCCAGGUGGAGAAGGACU